This 295-nucleotide RNase P RNA is filed under the name Epilithonimonas xixisoli. RNAcentral's name for it is "Chryseobacterium xixisoli Bacterial RNase P class A". It matches the Rfam family "Bacterial RNase P class A". Rfam says of the family: Ribonuclease P (RNase P) is a ubiquitous endoribonuclease, found in archaea, bacteria and eukarya as well as chloroplasts and mitochondria. Its best characterised activity is the generation of mature 5'-ends of tRNAs by cleaving the 5'-leader elements of precursor-tRNAs. The record is from RNAcentral. Lineage: Bacteria; Pseudomonadati; Bacteroidota; Flavobacteriia; Flavobacteriales; Weeksellaceae.
AGAGAAGCGUGACUUGUUGAUCCAGAUUAUUUUGGGUAGGAAAGUCCGGACACCAUAGGGCAGCAUAGCGGAUAACAUCCGUCACUUGCGAGAGUAGGACAAGUGCAACAGAAAGCAAGUACAGUUCGGCUGUAGUGAAACCAGGUAAACUCUAUGCGGUGCAAUGCUAAGUAUAUCAUCAGUUAAGUUCGGCUCGGGCAUUGAUGAGGGGUAAGCAGCAAAAGUUUUGCAGCAAUGUAAAACGCAGAUAAAUAACAAGUCUCGACAGAAUCCGGCUUACAGCGCUUCUCUUUUU